CAGCACUCUGGACUUGCCCUGUUGUCAGAGCCUGCAGUUCCUGGAAUGCCUGGUGCUGCUCUGUCCUGAGCCCUGGUGUCUUGAGACUAGUCUGGAGCCAGCAGGAAGACUGAAUCCAAAGAUCAAAGUUGGUACCGCUGGAAGGGACUUAAAGGACACAACUUGCAUUGCACAAGCAGUGACACAGAGGCCUACAUCAGAGAGGAACUUGUUCCAAGCAAAACAAUCCAGGAACUUUCCUGUGCUACCUACUGAUGGGAUAACGAAGACCAUGCCAGCCUGAGGAUCCUGAGAUUGACCAGACCCCCAGACCCCAGAUCACCCAAUUGAUGUCAUUCCUGAUACCAUUUUUACAUACCUUCCCAUACCCGUCUUUCACCAAGUUUUCUUUAAAAUAAGAGCCUGGAACCCUCAAACCACUUCUCCCACUCUGGGGUGACCUGCAUUCUCCCAUUAAUGUGUUAUCUGCAUUCCUAAAUAAAACUGUCUAUGCCUCUGA
This is a long non-coding RNA of Sciurus carolinensis (gray squirrel), 499 nucleotides long. RefSeq lists it as uncharacterized. Lineage: Eukaryota; Metazoa; Chordata; Mammalia; Rodentia; Sciuridae. The transcript is spliced from 3 exons. The record is from RefSeq and is a predicted model, not a curated record.